AAUAGGGCAUAGCAAUCUAAAUAAUACCUUGCAGAUGGUGGGGAAUCAUGUCAAUGGAGAGUGUGAUGAAUGUAUGUCUGUGGAAACAGUAGAGCAUGUGUUGAUGGACUGUGGAAAGUAUGUUUGUGAAAGACAGGUGAUGAUUGAGGAUUUUAAGAGGAGGGGGUUCCAGAUAACGGACGUAAGGGGUAUAUUGUCCAGGACGGGAGAGGACAGGAGACCAUUAUGGAAAUUUCUGAAAGUGACGGGGCUGUUUAAGAGGAUUUAAGUGGCGACCUACAGGGGGCAGCAAUGCAACAAAUUUGGAUGCCGGCUGCCAUUAAACUUCACAGAGAGAGAGAGAGAGUCUGCGUGAAGCGGGAGGAGCCGUUAUGAGACUGCUAAGCUUUUGGUGGAGGAACUUUGAAAAAGGCUGCAUGGAAGAAGCUGGUAUCGAUGUUACUGAGAUUGGAGCUCAAAUACUCAAAGUUGUGAGGAAGUGGACCGACUUUAUCCAGCAGUGAGAAAAGUGCAGCAUCGCUUCAAUACAUCUUUUCUGUGAUGUGCCUGGAAUGGCUAAAGAGGAUUCUCCACUCUACCUGGAGGCAACAGAGGAGGGUCUAACUCAUUGACUGUAAAAAACACUGACAAAACAAGCAAUGAGGUCUCGCAUUGGAAAUGCAUUACCUCCUCUCCUCGCGAAAGUAGGCCGCCGCUUUCACCGUCACUUCCUGAAACGGCUAUCGCCAUUUUGCAAACAAUCAUCAGCGAUUGGUCCAAGUCUCUGUGAGUCAUGGAAUCUAUAGGAAGUACCUUCAACCAAUCUUAGGUCUCCCUGGUUACAUGCAGCUUGGGAGCAGUCCUUGGUGUUCCAGCAGGAAUCGGUACUCACCUCAUCAUCUCAGCUGCCAGAUGGUUGCCUACCUUUGGAAUCCUUCAACCACGAGUACCAAUAACCAACCAUCUCUGGAUCUCUCCGCUCAGCUGCCUCACAGCCACAGACUCAGCUCUGCCUGCUCACCGUGUCCUCCAGCUCCAGAAGGACAAAGGAACGCCACUCACCUCCCCAAACCUUGGACACCAUCUGAAAACCCCGAUGCAGCCUCUCCUCUCCUCUCUUCGUUCUCAAUCUCUCUCCACCACCUCUGCCUGCACGCCCACUCCGGAUUCUGA
Molecule: long non-coding RNA, 1152 nt
Filed under: Oryzias javanicus (javanese ricefish)
Lineage: Eukaryota; Metazoa; Chordata; Actinopteri; Beloniformes; Adrianichthyidae
Description: lncRNA (ENSOJAG00000007143.1)
Source: RNAcentral